AGGAGAGAUGGCUGAGAGGUUUAAAGCAAUAGUUUCGAAAACUAUAAUACGAAGAUUUCGUAUCGAGGGUUCGAAUCCCUCUCUCUCCUA
Molecule: transfer RNA, 90 nt
Filed under: Galdieria sulphuraria
Lineage: Eukaryota; Rhodophyta; Bangiophyceae; Galdieriales; Galdieriaceae
Also listed under: 1 other name
Description: tRNA-Ser
Rfam family: tRNA
About the family: Transfer RNA (tRNA) molecules are approximately 80 nucleotides in length.
Source: RNAcentral